AAAAUCUAAAAGAUUGGGUUAGCGGCCGAACAAGAAACCCUUGUUUUGAUCCCCAAAACCCCCAGCCUUCCCCAUCUUCUUUCUUCCCUUCCAUUUUCCCUUGCCAUUUUGAAGAACCCACGAGGAGCUCUGAGAGACGUUGCUUAGCCAUGGCGAGCGCUGAUGUAGAGGCUGUCGACUUCGAGCCCGAGGAAGAUGACCUCAUGGACGAGGAUGGAGCUGCCGAAGCCGAUGCCUCCCCACGAGCUCCAUUUCCCAAGCUCAAAUCCGCCAUUACCGGCGGCGCAUCUUCCUCGCUUGCUGGUGCUCCUAAGAAGACCAAGGGUCGUGGAUUUCGAGACGAGUCUGAUCGAAACACCCGCCUUGCUGGGUCGGACUUCGAUUCCCUCAAGUCUGCUGAUGGCCCUGGCCCCCAACGAUCUAUUGAAGGAUGGAUCAUUCUGGUAACUGG
Molecule: unclassified non-coding RNA, 451 nt
Filed under: Hevea brasiliensis (rubber tree)
Lineage: Eukaryota; Viridiplantae; Streptophyta; Magnoliopsida; Malpighiales; Euphorbiaceae
Source: RNAcentral